This 31-nucleotide non-coding RNA is filed under the name Rattus norvegicus (Norway rat). Lineage: Eukaryota; Metazoa; Chordata; Mammalia; Rodentia; Muridae. The record is from RNAcentral.
UAAGCCUUUGCCCCCUGUUCAUUCCUGAAAU